Molecule: microRNA, 22 nt
Filed under: Gadus morhua (Atlantic cod)
Lineage: Eukaryota; Metazoa; Chordata; Actinopteri; Gadiformes; Gadidae
Also listed under: 4 other names
Description: gmo-miR-1338-3p
Source: miRBase by way of RNAcentral
AUCUCAGGUUUGUCAGCCCAUG